Molecule: long non-coding RNA, 565 nt
Organism: Gorilla gorilla gorilla (western lowland gorilla)
Lineage: Eukaryota; Metazoa; Chordata; Mammalia; Primates; Hominidae
Exons: 3
Source: RefSeq, a predicted model, not a curated record
GCGGACAUUGGCCACCUCCCACUGUUCUCCAUGUGGCCACUACCCCUCUUCAGGCGCUAUGUCUCCUCUGGACUCUACCACAGCCUCCUUGCAGCCUCUCCACCUCUACCUCCACAGAGAUCUUAAUAAAAUAAAGGUCAUCAUCACCACAGCUGGAGCAAGGAGGCAAGAAUCCAUGAGGAGGAAACUGGAAUUCUUUUCCUCAUUGCAUAGCUGAAGAGACUGCAGCCCGGGAAGGGAAGCAAUGGUGCCACAGCCAAUCAGUGGAGGGUCAAGAAUUGAAGCAAGUCCCCAGGUCUCGAAUCCACAGCCCUUUCUAGUUAGCCCAAUGGGGAAGGCCCUCAUGAUGGAACUGCCAGCCCCUUUGAAAAGCUUCACAUAGGUGUUUUGCCAGUUCUUGUCCCCAGAGGCAUCUUGUCUAUGCAGUCCUGCAAAAAAAGAGGCCAGCUUUUCUGUCCUCUGACAGGGGCUAAUGGAGUGUAACAGGCAUGUGCAUGAACUCGGGGGCCAAGUCACUAAGAUUUGAAUCCCAGCUCUGCCACUGGGCAUCUUUGACAAGUACAGA